Non-coding RNA from Astyanax mexicanus (Mexican tetra), 559 nucleotides. The record is from the annotation of a RefSeq genome assembly. NCBI's taxonomy places the organism in Eukaryota, Metazoa, Chordata, Actinopteri, Characiformes, Acestrorhamphidae.
CUGUUCUAUAAAUCUUUAUAAACUUCUGAUCAAAUCUGUUCUGCUCUUUACGCAGGUCUGUCAGGAGGUGGCGCUCUGCUCUCCUGUUGAACUGAACUGAGAGUCUGAGUCAGAUCAACAUGAGCUCCUUGAAGAGGAACUCUUCUAUUUAUUCAGUCUCUGAGCUUCAGACAGGAUGCUGCUCUGUGUUCUGCUCAUCUUUACUCUGACUGAAGAAAUCAGUGCUGCUGAUGGAAUACAGCCACUCUUCAGUGUAAAGCGAGUUUUGGAGGGAGCAGAUGUGACUCUCUCCUGUAAUUAUACUGCAUCUUACAUAAACAGCCUGCAGUGGUACCGUCAGUAUCCUGAAUCAGAACCAGAAUUCCUCAUUUCUCUCACUGAAACUGAGGGAGCAUCUAAUUCUACUCUCCGUCUGACAGCAAAGGCUGACAAACAACAGAAACAAGUGGAUCUGAACAUAUCUAGAACUGCAGUAUCAGACUCUGCUCUCUACUACUGCGCUCUGCAGCCCACAGUGACAGAAACCCACCAAACACUGUACUAAAACUUUACUUGUGAA